UCAGGAAUAAGAUGACGGGAAGGGCAACCACCAGGAGUGGAGCCUGCGGCUUAAUUUGACUCAACACGGGGAAACUCACCCGGCCCGGACACAGUGAGGAUUGACAGAUUGAGAGUCUUUCUUGAUUCUGUGGGUGGUGGUGCAUGGCCGUUCUUAGUUGGUGGAGCGAUUUGUCUGGUUAAUUCCGAUAACGAACGAGACUCUGGCUUGCUAAAUAGUCGCGCCGGCCGCCGCGCCGGGCGCUGACUUCUUAGAGGGACAAGUGGCGUUCAGCCACGCGAGAUUGAUUAGAUGUCCGGGGCCGCACGCGCGCUACACUGAAGGGGUCAGCGGGUCCCGUCCCUUGGCCGGAAGGUSUGGGCAAUCCGUUGAACCCCCUUCGUGCUUGGGAUAGGGAGUUGCAAUUGUCUCCCUUGAACGAGGAAUUCCCAGUAAGCGCGAGUCAUCAGCUCGCGUUGAUUACGUCCCUGCCCUUUGUACACACCGCCCGUCGSUACUACCGAUUGAAUGGUUUAGUGAGAUCCUCGGACGGGCCGCGGCGGGGCGCCCCCGGCGCCUCGCUCGUGCGCCCGGAAGACGAUCGAACUUGAUCAUUUAGAGGAAGUAAAAUCGUUAACAAGGUUUCC
Molecule: ribosomal RNA, 626 nt
Filed under: Solaster dawsoni
Lineage: Eukaryota; Metazoa; Echinodermata; Asteroidea; Velatida; Solasteridae
Description: SSU rRNA
Rfam family: Eukaryotic small subunit ribosomal RNA
Source: RNAcentral